RNAcentral lists this ribosomal RNA (301 nucleotides) under uncultured bacterium. RNAcentral describes it as "partial 16S ribosomal RNA". It matches the Rfam family "Bacterial small subunit ribosomal RNA", at positions 509 to 807 of the family's 1533-position model. The record is from RNAcentral.
CAGUAGCCGCGGGAAUACGAGGGGGGCAAGCGUUGUUCGGAAUUAUUGGGCGUAAAGGGUGCGUAGGCGGUUCAGCAAGUCUCGUGUGAAAUCUUCGGGCUCAACCCGAAGUCUGCACGGGAAACUACUGGGCUUGAGUAAUGGAGAGGUGAGUGGAAUUUCCGGUGUAGCGGUGAAAUGCGUAGAUAUCGGAAGGAACACCUGUGGCGAAAGCGGCUCACUGGACAUUUACUGACGUUGAUGCACGAAAGCUAGGGGAGCAAACAGGAUUAGAUACCCCCGUAGUCCCUGUUUCUUAUAC